Molecule: long non-coding RNA, 447 nt
Filed under: Vulpes vulpes (red fox)
Lineage: Eukaryota; Metazoa; Chordata; Mammalia; Carnivora; Canidae
Description: lncRNA (ENSVVUG00000003321.1)
Source: RNAcentral
AAUAAGCUGACAUGCAUCCAAUUAAUAAUGCUUUAUUUAUUAGUGCUGAUUGCAAUCAAAAUAAUGAUAUUUAAAAUAUUACUAAUUGUUUAUAUCUUGUUGAGUGGGGAGACAAUUGAUCCUCCAAAGAAUUUCAUCCUACACUAAAUGAAGAAAAAUAAGCUGAUAAUCUGCCAUCCGAGGCUGUUUACAAAGAAUUUUAAUGAUGAUGAUGCUCUAUUAGAGAUAAAGCUAUGUUUAAUCAAGGAUAAGAUUAAGGUUUCGUGUGAGAUCAGCAAACUUUUUCUGCAAUGGAGCACACAGUAAAUAUUUUAGACUUCGUGAACAAUAUAAUCUCUGUCACAGCUGCUCAACCUGACUGGUACAGUGAAAUAGCAGCUUUAGACAAUACAUACAUGGAUGUGUGUGUGUGUGAUUGAGUUCCAAUAAAAUUCCACUUACAGAAAC